This 116-nucleotide ribosomal RNA is filed under the name Klebsiella pneumoniae. RNAcentral also lists the same sequence under 1 other name. Lineage: Bacteria; Pseudomonadati; Pseudomonadota; Gammaproteobacteria; Enterobacterales; Enterobacteriaceae. The record is from RNAcentral.
CCUGGCGGCACUAGCGCGGUGGUCCCACCUGACCCCAUGCCGAACUCAGAAGUGAAACGUCGUAGCGCCGAUGGUAGUGUGGGGUCUCCCCAUGUGAGAGUAGGGAACUGCCAGGC